CAUGUAAGAUGAUGUAACAUUAUGUAACAUCAGCAUGGAACAUUGUACGUAAUGUUGCAUGUAACUGCAUGUAACAUCACAUAUAACAGCAUGUGACAUUGUGUGUGACAGCAUGUAACAUCAGCCUUCUUCCCAUAUUUCUUAACAGCCACUAUGCCAGUGUUUCCCCACUUUUGUCCGUAUGUGGCUAGCCAGCUCCUGCUAUUCAUUUGCAGCCUACACAGCCCUAAUGCUACUGAAAUCGUUCUCUUCCAGCCCUGCAACAGGACAGAGGAGAUAUUUAUAAGAAAUGCCUGCAGAGUGGCAUCCCAGCAUCCCCAUGAAGCCCAUCCUUUUCUGAGUCAAAGUCUCAGAAGUCAUGUUCUUCCCCGAGAGAUAUCUGACAUUGAGUUCCCAAUCUUGCCUCGUGUGUGUCCACUUCUGGUCCUCAGACAUGUUCCUUCCUUCACCACGAUCUGGGAGACCACAGGGCAUUACAGUUCCUCGCAUGGCCACAGAGGCAGGCAAUCUGGGUCUGAAUCCUGGACUUUUGCAGUUAUAGCUAAGCAACUCGGGGCAAACCUCUCUAAGCAUCCCAUUCUUAUCUGUAAAGUGGGAAUAAGAGUCACGCCUUAUGAUUCAAAAAACAUAAUUUUUUGGAGGCAGGAGCCACUAAGCUCAGCCGCUUACAGGUAUUUUUGAACAUCAAAUGGCUGCCCCUUCUCCGAGCCAAGGAUAGAACAAUCAGUCACAAAGCCGC
Molecule: long non-coding RNA, 739 nt
Filed under: Homo sapiens (human)
Lineage: Eukaryota; Metazoa; Chordata; Mammalia; Primates; Hominidae
Description: HSALNT0242357
Source: RNAcentral